UGCGGGAGGAAGGCUGCGUCAGUAUGGGUGGUGGUAGUGGCCUGAAACAUUAGUUAGCACGCUGAUUCCUUGAGGUGUUAUGGCGCAUGUAAGGCAGUGAGUGUUUGGAGGGCGGAAUUCAGGUGUACUUGUGUACUUUGUAGGAAAUGAGAGAAGUUGUAAGGUGGUGACUGUUGGUCAACUAUUGAAAGUGCUUACCCUGAUGUGUGUGUUUGAAUAUGUUAGUGUUAGUGUGUGUGUGUGUGUGUGUGUGUGUGUGUGUGUGUGUGUGUGUGUGUGACUAGGUGUUCAAGCCUGCGUGUGUCAGCGUGGAGUGUGGCAGGUGUGGGCGCUGAGUCGGUUCUGUCGAGG
Long non-coding RNA from Eriocheir sinensis (Chinese mitten crab), 351 nucleotides. RefSeq lists it as uncharacterized. NCBI's taxonomy places the organism in Eukaryota, Metazoa, Arthropoda, Malacostraca, Decapoda, Varunidae. The transcript is spliced from 3 exons. The record is from RefSeq and is a predicted model, not a curated record.